RNAcentral lists this ribosomal RNA (538 nucleotides) under Monosporozyma servazzii. RNAcentral's name for it is "Kazachstania servazzii partial large subunit ribosomal RNA". It matches the Rfam family "Eukaryotic large subunit ribosomal RNA", at positions 104 to 656 of the family's 3401-position model. The record is from RNAcentral. Lineage: Eukaryota; Fungi; Ascomycota; Saccharomycetes; Saccharomycetales; Saccharomycetaceae.
AAAGCUCAAAUUUGAAAUCUAGUACCUUCGGUGCUCGAGUUGUAAUUUGUAGAGGGAUACUUUGGGGCCGUUCCUUGUCUAUGUUCCUUGGAACAGGACGUCAUAGAGGGUGAGAAUCCCGUGUGGCGAGGAGUGCGGUUCUAUGUAAAGUGCCUUCGAAGAGUCGAGUUGUUUGGGAAUGCAGCUCUAAGUGGGUGGUAAAUUCCAUCUAAAGCUAAAUAUUGGCGAGAGACCGAUAGCGAACAAGUACAGUGAUGGAAAGAUGAAAAGAACUUUGAAAAGAGAGUGAAAAAGUACGUGAAAUUGUUGAAAGGGAAGGGCAUUUGAUCAGACAUGGUGUUUUGCGCCCUCCGCUCCUUGUGGGUGGGGGACUCUCGCAGCUCACUGGGCCAACAUCAGUUUUGGUGGUCGGACAAAUCCGUAGGAAUGUAGCUUACCUCGGUAAGUGUUAUAGCCUGCGGGAAUACGGCCAGCCGGGACUGAGGACUGCGACUUUUGUCAAGGAUGUUGGCAUAAUGGUUAUAUGCCGCCCGUCUUG